AGCUGCUCUGUUUACACUUGCUGGUUACUGGAAGAUCGGAAGACGGGACAAAAUCCAGAAGGCAAGCGGGCGGCCAGCGUGGUGACUGUCGCCUGUGAGCCCGCGCUUUGGGAGGCUGAAGCAGGAGGUUCUCCUGAGCCUCUCAGCUGUGGUGUAAAGUCGGCUGCCUGCAUGGACCUGAGUUACGAUUUGGUGACUUGGCGGUGGUUUCCCUUGGUUCCAACUUCCCACUUGCUUCUCUGUCCAUUACUGGCUGGCCAACUCCUCUAGUGCCCCCUCCUCCAGGCAGCCUUCUCAGCCCAGCCCAUCUGCUCCAUCUGAGCUGCCCCAGUCCCCAGCCUGAGUCCUCAAGCAGAACCAGCACCCCUACCUCAGCUGAUGAUCCCCUGCACAGUCUGUACUAUGGCUCCCCACAAGGGCUGAUGCCGUAUAUGCCCAGCUGGGUCAUCUCACUGAAUUCUCCCCUGGAUCCUAUGAGGGAGGGAAUAGUUUAUAGAUGGAGAAACAGAAACUCAGAGAGGUUCAGUAACUUGCCGAAGGUCACAGCCAGUGAGGUCAAAGUGGGAUUAGGAUUUCACCUUGUUGACCAAGAUGGUCUCGAUCUCUUGACCUCGUGAUCCACCCGCCUCGGCCUCCCAAAGUGCUGGGAUUAUAGGCGUGAGCCACCGCACCCGGCCCAAGACCCCAUCUCUUAAUUCAUUAAGAAUUAAAGCCAGUAAACUGGCUUCAGAGAACCAAUGGUGGAUCUGAAGAAAGGUGGGAACAGGCAGGAAGGAUGCUCACGGGGGAGGCUGCUCUGUCCACGCCCCUGGCAGGGACCACGUCACUGCGGUCCCUGCCUCUAUGACCAGCCCAGUCUCCUGCCCUACUAUGCUCUGUGACCCUGUCAGCCCCUGCCCCUCUCCUGACCUCAGCCCACUUCCUCUUCGGGUUCUGCAGAACUCAGGGGCAGGGCACUGAAGGAGGCGAUGCUGCCUCUGCUGUGCCCUGGGAGCAGACUCCAAGGAUGGCCCCCCGAGCUGCGUCAUGUUCUGUGAAUAAAAGGCCUGGGCCUCCUUUGAAGCCCCCUCUAGGCCCAGUGGUUCAUGUGUAA
Callithrix jacchus (white-tufted-ear marmoset) is the source of this 1093-nucleotide non-coding RNA. The record is from RefSeq and is a predicted model, not a curated record. Lineage: Eukaryota; Metazoa; Chordata; Mammalia; Primates; Cebidae.